RNAcentral lists this ribosomal RNA (855 nucleotides) under uncultured bacterium. RNAcentral describes it as "bacterial SSU rRNA". It matches the Rfam family "Bacterial small subunit ribosomal RNA", at positions 28 to 897 of the family's 1533-position model. The record is from RNAcentral.
GAUGAACGCUGGCGGCGUGCUUAACACAUGCAAGUCGAACGAUGAUCCGGUGCUUGCGCCGGGGAUUAGUGGCGAACGGGUGAGUAACACGUGAGUAACCUGCCCUUAACUCUGGGAUAAGCCUGGGAAACUGGGUCUAAUACCGGAAAUGACUCCUCAUCGCAUGGUGGGGGGUGGAAAGCUUUUUGUGGUUUUGGAUGGACUCGCGGCCUAUCAGCUUGUUGGUGAGGUAAUGGCUCACCAAGGCGACGACGGGUAGCCGGCCUGAGAGGGUGACCGGCCACACUGGGACUGAGACACGGCCCAGACUCCUACGGGAGGCAGCAGUGGGGAAUAUUGCACAAUGGGCGCAAGCCUGAUGCAGCGACGCCGCGUGAGGGAUGACGGCCUUCGGGUUGUAAACCUCUUUCAGUAGGGAAGAAGCGAAAGUGACGGUACCUGCAGAAGAAGCGCCGGCUAACUACGUGCCAGCAGCCGCGGUAAUACGUAGGGCGCAAGCGUUAUCCGGAAUUAUUGGGCGUAAAGAGCUCGUAGGCGGUUUGUCGCGUCUGCCGUGAAAGUCCGGGGCUCAACUCCGGAUCUGCGGUGGGUACGGGCAGACUAGAGUGAUGCAGGGGAGACUGGAAUUCCUGGUGUAGCGGUGAAAUGCGCAGAUAUCAGAGGAACACCGGUGGCGAAGGCGGGUCUCUGGGCAGUAACUGACGCUGAGGAACGAAAGCGUGGGUAGCAAACAGGAUUAGAUACCCUGGUAGUCCACGCCGUAAACGGUGGGCGCUAGGUGUGGGUUCCUUCCACGGAUCUGUGCCGUAGCUAACGCAUUAAGCGCCCCGCCUGGGGAGUACGGCGCAAGGCUAA